Hyaena hyaena (striped hyena) is the source of this 89-nucleotide long non-coding RNA. RefSeq lists it as uncharacterized. The record is from RefSeq and is a predicted model, not a curated record. The transcript is spliced from 3 exons. NCBI's taxonomy places the organism in Eukaryota, Metazoa, Chordata, Mammalia, Carnivora, Hyaenidae.
AGCAGGGGAGGGCUAAGAAUAUGCAUCUAGAGAAUGGAUUAAAUGUGACGGUUUAAGCAAACCAAUAUCCAGAGUGUCCAGUCCAGCAG